GACGAACGCUGGCGGCGUGCUUAACACAUGCAAGUCGAACGGAAAGGCUCCAGCUUGCUGGAGUACUCGAGUGGCGAACGGGUGAGUAACACGUGGGUAAUCUGCCCUGCACUCUGGGAUAAGCCUGGGAAACUGGGUCUAAUACUGGAUAUGACCUUUCUCCUUAUGGGGUUUGGUGGAAAGUUUUUCGGUGUAGGAUGAGCCCGCGGCCUAUCAGCUUGUUGGUGGGGUGAUGGCCUACCAAGGCGACGACGGGUAGCCGGCCUGAGAGGGUGAUCGGCCACAUUGGGACUGAGAUACGGCCCAGACUCCUACGGGAGGCAGCAGUGGGGAAUAUUGCACAAUGGGCGGAAGCCUGAUGCAGCGACGCCGCGUGAGGGAUGACGGCCUUCGGGUUGUAAACCUCUUUCAGCAGGGACGAAGCGUAAGUGACGUUACCUGCAGAAGAAGCACCGGCUAACUAUGUG
Molecule: ribosomal RNA, 467 nt
Filed under: uncultured bacterium
Lineage: Bacteria
Description: partial 16S ribosomal RNA
Rfam family: Bacterial small subunit ribosomal RNA
Source: RNAcentral